CCUACGGGAGGCAGCAGUGAGGAAUAUUGGUCAAUGGACGGAAGUCUGAACCAGCCAUGCCGCGUGCAGGAAGACGGCUCUAUGAGUUGUAAACUGCUUUUGUACAAGGGUAAACCUGAAUACGUGUAUUCAGCUGAAAGUACUGUACGAAUAAGGAUCGGCUAACUCCGUACCAGCAGCCGCGGUAAUACGGAGGAUCCAAGCGUUAUCCGGAUUUAUUGGGUUUAAAGGGUGCGUAGGCGGAUUGAUAAGUUAGAGGUGAAAUGUCCGAGCUUAACUCGGGAACUGCCUCUAAUACUGUUGAUCUAGAGAGUAGAUGCGGUAGGCGGAAUGUAUGGUGUAGCGGGGAAAUGCUUAGAGAUCAUACAGAACACCGAUUGCGAAGGCAGCUUACCAAUCUAUAUCUGACGUUGAGGCACGAAAGCGUGGGGAGCAAACAGGAUUAGAUACCCUGGUAGUC
Molecule: ribosomal RNA, 460 nt
Filed under: uncultured bacterium
Lineage: Bacteria
Description: partial 16S ribosomal RNA
Rfam family: Bacterial small subunit ribosomal RNA
Source: RNAcentral